UACGUAGGGGGCUAGCGUUGUCCGGAAUCAUUGGGCGUAAAGCGCGUGUAGGCGGUUUGGUAAGUCCGCUGUGAAAGCCGGGGGCUCAACCCUCGGAUGCCGGUGGAUACUGUCGGGCUUGAGUACGGAAGAGGCGAGUGGAAUUCCUGGUGUAGCGGUGAAAUGCGCAGAGAUCAGGAGGAACACCAAUUGCGAAGGCAGCUCGCUGGGACGUUACUGACGCUGAGACGCGAAAGCGUGGGGAGCAAACAGG
RNAcentral lists this ribosomal RNA (253 nucleotides) under uncultured bacterium. RNAcentral describes it as "partial 16S ribosomal RNA". It matches the Rfam family "Bacterial small subunit ribosomal RNA", at positions 524 to 776 of the family's 1533-position model. The record is from RNAcentral.